CAUAAGUAACGAUAAAGCGGGUGAAAAGCCCGCUCGCCGGAAGACCAAGGGUUCCUGUCCAACGUUAAUCGGGGCAGGGUGAGUCGACCCCUAAGGCGAGGCCGAAAGGCGUAGUCGAUGGGAAACAGGUUAAUAUUCCUGUACUUGGUGUUACUGCGAAGGGGGGACGGAGAAGGCUAUGUUGGCCGGGCGACGGUUGUCCCGGUUUAAGCGUGUAGGCUGGUUUUCCAGGCAAAUCCGGAAAAUCAAGGCUGAGGCGUGAUGACGAGGCACUACGGUGCUGAAGCAACAAAUGCCCUGCUUCCAGGAAAAGCCUCUAAGCAUCAGGUAACAUCAAAUCGUACCCCAAACCGACACAGGUGGUCAGGUAGAGAAUACCAAGGCGCUUGAGAGAACUCGGGUGAAGGAACUAGGCAAAAUGGUGCCGUAACUUCGGGAGAAGGCACGCUGAUAUGUAGGUGAAGUCCCUCGCGGAUGGAGCUGAAAUCAGUCGAAGAUACCAGCUGGCUGCAACUGUUUAUUAAAAACACAGCACUGUGCAAACACGAAAGUGGACGUAUACGGUGUGACGCCUGCCCGGUGCCGGAAGGUUAAUUGAUGGGGUUAGCGGUAACGCGAAGCUCUUGAUCGAAGCCCCGGUAAACGGCGGCCGUAACUAUAACGGUCCUAAGGUAGCGAAAUUCCUUGUCGGGUAAGUUCCGACCUGCACGAAUGGCGUAAUGAUGGCCAGGCUGUCUCCACCCGAGACUCAGUGAAAUUGAACUCGCUGUGAAGAUGCAGUGUACCCGCGGCAAGACGGAAAGACCCCGUGAACCUUUACUAUAGCUUGACACUGAACAUUGAGCCUUGAUGUGUAGGAUAGGUGGGAGGCUUUGAAGUGUGGACGCCAGUCUGCAUGGAGCCGACCUUGAAAUACCACCCUUUAAUGUUUGAUGUUCUAACGUUGGCCCCUGAUCGGGGUUGCGGACAGUGUCUGGUGGGUAGUUUGACUGGGGCGGUCUCCUCCUAAAGAGUAACGGAGGAGCACGAAGGUUGGCUAAUCCUGGUCGGACAUCAGGAGGUUAGUGCAAUGGCAUAAGCCAGCUUGACUGCGAGCGUGACGGCGCGAGCAGGUGCGAAAGCAGGUCAUAGUGAUCCGGUGGUUCUGAAUGGAAGGGCCAUCGCUCAACGGAUAAAAGGUACUCCGGGGAUAACAGGCUGAUACCGCCCAAGAGUUCAUAUCGACGGCGGUGUUUGGCACCUCGAUGUCGGCUCAUCACAUCCUGGGGCUGAAGUAGGUCCCAAGGGUAUGGCUGUUCGCCAUUUAAAGUGGUACGCGAGCUGGGUUUAGAACGUCGUGAGACAGUUCGGUCCCUAUCUGCCGUGGGCGCUGGAGAACUGAGGGGGGCUGCUCCUAGUACGAGAGGACCGGAGUGGACGCAUCACUGGUGUUCGGGUUGUCAUGCCAAUGGCACUGCCCGGUAGCUAAAUGCGGAAGAGAUAAGUGCUGAAAGCAUCUAAGCACGAAACUUGCCCCGAGAUGAGUUCUCCCUGACUCCUUGAGAGUCCUGAAGGAACGUUGAAGACGACGACGUUGAU
This 1578-nucleotide ribosomal RNA is filed under the name Escherichia coli. Its description in RNAcentral is "partial 23S ribosomal RNA". It matches the Rfam family "Bacterial large subunit ribosomal RNA", at positions 1301 to 2857 of the family's 2925-position model. Lineage: Bacteria; Pseudomonadati; Pseudomonadota; Gammaproteobacteria; Enterobacterales; Enterobacteriaceae. The record is from RNAcentral.